UGCACUUCCGGCGUGAAGAGCACUUUCUGGAGUGCGGUUGCAGAGGGUGAACUCAAAGAUAUGUGAUGAGACGCCACUAUUUUAUUUAUUUAUUUGACAG
Lontra canadensis (Northern American river otter) is the source of this 100-nucleotide long non-coding RNA. RefSeq lists it as uncharacterized. The record is from RefSeq and is a predicted model, not a curated record. The transcript is spliced from 3 exons. Lineage: Eukaryota; Metazoa; Chordata; Mammalia; Carnivora; Mustelidae.